RNAcentral lists this long non-coding RNA (756 nucleotides) under Rattus norvegicus (Norway rat). RNAcentral describes it as "long non-coding RNA NONRATT026970". Lineage: Eukaryota; Metazoa; Chordata; Mammalia; Rodentia; Muridae. The record is from RNAcentral.
UUUGAAAGAUGCCAGUUAUUUGAUGUUAUAUACCCCUUAUCCUCGGUUUGUACUGUUACAGUGUUUCAAUUUGCUUUGCCACAUGGAAUGGUUCUUUCUUUCCUCUUUUUGUGAGGGAGCCUGCAGCCAUGCUGUGCAAGUGGUUUCUGAGGGCAACUUCCUACAUGGAGUUCCCCUUCUUCCAUGUGGGUUCUGGGGGUGAACUUGGGUUCACCAUGCAGCAGGUGCCCUCCCUUCCUGCUGAGCCACUUUGCCAGCCCCCACAUGACUUCUUAAAUAUCUGUCUGUUUUUAUGUAAGUGUUCUGCCUACAUCUCUCUGUCACACAUGUGGAGUACCAGCAAAGACCAGAAGAGGCCAUUAGAUUCCCUAGAACUGGAGUUACACGUGGUUGUGAGGCAUCUGUGGGUGCUGGAAAGUGAACUUGUGACUUCUGGAAAUGCAGCCAUUGCUCUUAGCUACUCUCCAUACUCUCCUGCCACCUUUCCCCACCCCCAUGGCCUCUUGAUGUCUAGCUUGAAUUUAGGGAUCUUUCUUUUCUUGAAUUACAUAAAAUUCUCAGGGCACAUUAUAUGUCCUUCUGUUACUUAUUUUGUUCUCGGCUUUUUAACACAGGGUUUCUCUCUGUAUCCCUGGCUGUCCUGGCCCUCACACUGUAGACCAGGCAGGCCUUGAACUCAAGACACCCGCCUGCCUCUGCCUCCUGAGUGUUGGGAUUAAAGGCAUAUGCCACCACUGCCCAGCAUGCUUCUGUUAA